AUACGGAAGGUGCAGGCGUUAAUCGGAAUCACUGGGCGUAAAGCGCUCGUAGGUGGCUUUGUAGGUCAGGUGUGAAAGCCCACGGCUCAACCGUGGAAUUGCACUUGAUACUGCAUUGCUUGAGUUCGGGAGGAGGGUAGUGGAAUUCCAGGUGUAGGAGUGAAAUCCGUAGAGAUCUGGAGGAACACCAGUGGCGAAGGCGACUACCUGGACCGAUACUGACACUGAGGAGCGAAAGC
Molecule: ribosomal RNA, 239 nt
Filed under: uncultured bacterium
Lineage: Bacteria
Description: partial 16S ribosomal RNA
Rfam family: Bacterial small subunit ribosomal RNA
Source: RNAcentral